UUUCCGUAGGUGAACCUGCGGAAGGAUCAUUAGUGAAUUGCAUAUGUUAGCGGACCUCUUCGGAGUCCAUAGCAUCAAAUCACAUCCAUAACACCUGUGAACUGUAAGGCUGUCUUGAAAACGAAAGUGAUUAGAGCGCCUGCCCAUUUUAUACAAACAUUAAAGUAACAAACUUAGUCUUAUUAUAAUCUAAUAAAACUUUCAACAACGGAUCUCUUGGCUCUCGCAUCGAUGAGAACGCAGC
RNAcentral lists this unclassified non-coding RNA (244 nucleotides) under plant metagenome. RNAcentral describes it as "partial contains small subunit ribosomal RNA, internal transcribed spacer 1, and 5.8S ribosomal RNA". The stretch from base 197 to 244 matches the Rfam family "5.8S ribosomal RNA", at positions 1 to 49 of the family's 154-position model. The record is from RNAcentral.